CCCAUGGCCCCAUGUAGCUGUGUCACUGGCACCCCCGUGGCUACCCUGUGCUUACCAAAUAAAACAAUUAUGUAUUUAUUACGAUUUUAUAUGAGAACGUCAAAAGCAGAACUAAUGCAACCACGUUCAAACACUGCAGCCUGCUGCCACUGGUGUGUGGCGCUGGCGCUGCUCAGUGAAUGAUAGAUCAGACCAGAGAGAAGAAGACAAACGAAGAAGAUGGAGUUGUGAUUUCUCAGUUCCGAAUGGCGGCCAUAUUGGAAUUUUCUUUACUGUCGCUAGUUUCACACUACUUGAUUUCUCAUGUUGCAGUAAGCUAAACGAUUUCAUCUCUUACGUGACUUGUUGUUCUUGCACGUAACUGUGUAACCGUCUGACUGAUAAAGAAGUUGUUAAAUGUCUUUACGUUUAGAAACAUAAUCAAGCAAACUCAUCCAAGCAGAUGCGAAUAGCCUACAAUGUCAGUACUCAAACCACCAGUAGCAGGCUUAGGACUAGAGUUUGCCAGUCAGACCACUACACCUUUGCCAGCACCACCACCCAGCAAGCUUCAUCAACUCCAGCCAUGCCGAGUUUACCAGUCAGACCUACACCUCUGUCAAAUUCGCUCACAACGCUGCCAGUAACACCCCAGCAAGGUAGAACUGCAUUUUCAUUAAUCUGGCACCAAUAUCAAGGGAGAAACAAGCCAUGAAUGUCUGUCACAACUUCUUUGCAUCUUUACUUUCCUUACAUCUGAAGAGUGUGUUACAUAUAUCAUUAUUAAAAAUAAUUUUAAUAAAUUGUUUAAGCAUGUACAAUAAAUAAAGCAUGUAAAUGAGCAUGUAAAAUAAAUAAACAAAAGCAAGUAAAAUAAAUAAAUAAACAAAAUGUAUUGAACCUAAUACUAUGUGUGGUGAGUCUGUGUGAUAGUUGCUGAGGAUAAAUGUUUUUAUAUUGGAUUAUUAAAUUACAGAAUACAUUUAUAGGUUUCUCAUCAGCAGGCACUGUCUUCACCUUAGUAAAUUUGGUAACUUUGGUAAGUCCUGUAAAUAAUUGUAAAUUGUUCUGAUUGAGGGCAAAUGGAAAGUGUUAUAAUGUAUUAUUGCUAUUUUAGUGCAUCAUUUUCAUUAUUAUGGCCAUAAAUAAGGCCAAUUAGAAGCUGGUGGGUAGUAAGCGGCAAAAGGGUGGCCCUUUAUCUGGAGCCGCUUCUGAGCCGCCGCUGGACAGCCAGAGAACUGAUGAGCAAAACUCCAGCGGGCCACUGGUGGUUACCGCCGUUGGACCGCCAACUCUGCCGCUGGUUUGUAACAGUAACUUUAGCAUUAAAUGAUUGCAAAAUAUUUAUUGAGGUGAGUUUAACAAGUGUAAUUUCAUUGGCAUAUAAUUCAGGCCUAUAGUAGAUGGCUAAAUGGCUACAGUAGAAGGAUACACGAAAAGCCCAAACUACCAAAAUCUUCAUAUUUUAUUACCACAGUUUCUAUCUAUAGGCCUCUCUUAUUUGGUAUACUGACUAGACAUUAUUGAACAAACAUAGGCUAUUCAUCUGUAUUUCAGUAUCUCAGUAGGUUAAAGUAUUUUUUAGAUACCUCCCUGAAAUUACUUUUUGCAGGUUGUGAUGUCUUCUAUACGUUCUGACGUUACUGUUAAAAUGGCGUAACUGUUAAAUUCCAAUAUAGUGAGUAGGCUAUUGGCAAAACCGAUUGGCAUUUUUAUGUUGAGCCGGCAGGGGGCUCAGUUUAAAAAGUAACUAAGUUCGCACACACACAUCAACAGAUUCACACGCACAGAUAAACACACUUCCACGGAUUCCACACACACACACACACACACAUGCGCACACAUGCACAUUCACACACACAGACAGACACACACACAUCUUUAUACAAGCAAACUCACACAUGCACACACUCAUAUACACAUGAGCUGCAAGAGUAGGAGAUAUACAUACAGUAUAUUGCACAAAUCGGAGAUAAGGCAGGUUUAGACUUGCUGCAGACAACGCGUUCGUGUUCGUAUCAUGACUGCCUCGCGUAUUUUGCGGUCGUUUGGUGCGUCGGUCGUGCACGUCGUCGCAAGCGAACAUGACGCGUCCGCGAGAUGCAAUACUGAUAAGAAAGUAGGGGGCGAUCACUACAAAAAAAGGUGACUGCAAGAUGCAUUAUCGACAUCGAAGCUGGGGGCAAUCAUGAGAGUAAACAAUGGCACAUGGCCACAUCCACAUCUGAUGUUACUA
Molecule: long non-coding RNA, 2215 nt
Organism: Sardina pilchardus (European sardine)
Lineage: Eukaryota; Metazoa; Chordata; Actinopteri; Clupeiformes; Clupeidae
Exons: 3
Source: RefSeq, a predicted model, not a curated record